CAUUACUGAGUUAGGGUCUCAUCUCGAGCCCGAACCUCCAACCCUUUGUAUAAAACACUUUGUUGCUUUGGCAGGCCCGUCUGAAAAUCCUUUAACCGGGAUCGACGACCGCCGGGGGCGUUUAGUCACCUCUGGCCAGUGCUUGCCGAUAGCCUAUUCAAAAUUCUUUAUUAAAUCAUGUCUGAAAAAUUAUAACUAAAUAUAAUUAAAACUUUUAACAACGGAUCUCUUGGUUCUGGCAUCGAUGAAGAACGCAGCGAAAUGCGAUAAGUAAUGUGAAUUGCAGAAUUCAGUGAAUCAUCGAAUCUUUGAACGCACAUUGCGCCCUUUGGUAUUCCGAAGGGCAUGCCUGUUCGAGCGUCAUUAUCAACCCUCAAGGCUCGGCUUGUUAUUGGGCUCUUAUCGUUAAAGAUAGGCCCGAAAGAUAAUGGCGGCGUCAUAAAUGACCCCAGAUGCAGCGAGCUUAUAGCAUACAUCGAAAGGUUUUUAUGGCCCGGCCUUAACGAGAAGCAAUUCUCAAUUUUUCUAAAGGUUGACCUCGGAUCAGGUAGNAAUACCC
This 559-nucleotide ribosomal RNA is filed under the name uncultured Ascomycota. Its description in RNAcentral is "eukaryotic LSU rRNA". The stretch from base 210 to 363 matches the Rfam family "5.8S ribosomal RNA". Lineage: Eukaryota; Fungi; Ascomycota. The record is from RNAcentral.